CUGGAGACACAGCCCGUGAUAAGAACAUCCAUGAGUCUGUCAGUGCCCAGAUCAAGAAGAACUUUACCAAGAGCUAAUGGAAGCUGAGGGGGGCUGCUCCCAGAGUGAGGAUCAGAUCAAGACCCCCUGUACCCACAGCUAACCUGCAACCAGCUGCAUCUGUUCCCCCGGACACAAAGGGUGUUGCCAACCAAUGACUCUCCCACGAUAUACCUGUGGAGUCCAGAGAAACUCCCCAGUCUGGCCCAGAACACAGAGCUGUUGUACCCACUGCAUUCCUGGGUGAUAUUAUUUUGAGAGUGGGACAAAGCUUGUAAAGUGUUUUUACUCAUGCUUUUAAAAAUGUACCUCUGCUUUUUUCCCCCCAUCUCUGUGUUUCUGUACAUGAUUUUUAUAAUCGUUAUUAUCCUUUCCUGUUCACAACAUAGGACUGAGCCACUGAUGUUACCUGCAUGAUCAGAUGACAGGCAGACAGGUUCUCAUGCAUGUUGACUGGCAACAGGUGUUUUUAUAGCAUGACAAGUCUACUGCAGAACUAUACUGAACAAAAAUAUAAACGCAACCAUUUCAAAGAUUUUACUGAGUUACAGUUCAUGUGAGGAAAUCAGUCAGAUAAUCUUGGCAAAGGAGAAAUGCUCACUAACAGGGAUGUAAAACAAAUCUGUGCACAACAUUUGAGAGAAAUAAGCUUUCUGCGCAUGGACAAUUUCUGGGAUCUUUUAUUUCAGCUCAUGAAACAUGGGACCAACACAUGUUGUGUUUAUAUUUUUGUUCAGUGUAUGUGGUACCACCCAUUGUGGAAGUUUCCAUACAGCAGAUAAUGCAGCUAAUACUUCACGAGAGAUGGACUUACAUGAAGUGCUGUUCUUCAAACUAAGAAUAGGUCUCAUUUAACCCAGUUUUACUCUUGUUUAAACAACAUUCUAACCUGAUAGGGCAAUAUGAUCCUGUUGAUAAAGACUCUUUUAUGGGGAGUUUCAGCCUGGGGAUUUUAACUGGUCAAAACUUUUUCUAUUUAAGUUAAGACCAUGGGAGAUAUGAGCUCAGUUUAAGAGCACGGAAUAGAUAUGCACGAAUAGAAAGCCAAAUACAUGUUUGUGUAGAUACAACCAACCCCCUUUGGAUCACCCUUCCAUGGAUCUUUUCUUCAUUCAUAUUGGGGUUGAUUUUUCAAGCAAUUGUAUGUGUACAGAGAGAACUUGAAUGUAAAUAAUAAUCCAGUCAUCUCACUUCAUUAAAUGUCACUCACCAUAAGGUCAUGUUAAAUUGUUGAUGCAUUUCAUAACCUAUUGGACAUACAAAAGUGGGAUUUUAUGUUAUUCACUCAAGAAUACUCAUUUUACUAAAAUGUUUGUGCAUUUUACAAUUGAAUGUAUGUACAAUUGAAUGUAUGUACAGCUUGCCCUGGCAUCCUUCAGGGUGGCAUUGAAAAGUCUGACAUGGAAUAUAUACCCUAACCUGUGA
Long non-coding RNA from Oncorhynchus nerka (sockeye salmon), 1464 nucleotides. RefSeq lists it as uncharacterized. The record is from RefSeq and is a predicted model, not a curated record. Lineage: Eukaryota; Metazoa; Chordata; Actinopteri; Salmoniformes; Salmonidae. The transcript is spliced from 2 exons.